Long non-coding RNA from Rhinichthys klamathensis goyatoka, 341 nucleotides. RefSeq lists it as uncharacterized. NCBI's taxonomy places the organism in Eukaryota, Metazoa, Chordata, Actinopteri, Cypriniformes, Leuciscidae. The record is from RefSeq and is a predicted model, not a curated record. The transcript has 3 exons.
UUUAUAUUUUUUCUUGUAGAUGUCAGCAACAGCAGCUGAUGUAGAAAAAAGUUCUACACUUCCAGACUCUCCGAGACUGAUUGUCUUAGGUAAUGUGAAAUUCUCACUGCAACCCAGUGGAUGCCGAGUAUUGAGGGUCAAGUGUUUAUGAAUCCACACCCCAAUUUUAUGGCUGGAAUUGCUGCUUUGUUUGCAACUUACUACAACUUUAAUCUGGUGUACGAGCACGAGGCAUCCUGCACACUUGAAUUUGUUCAAAGAUGUUUUGUUGGAAUCAACCCAUCCACUGGUACCAAGACAGUCAAAAAAAAGUGGAAAGACCUCAGAGAAGAGGAACAACA